UGGAUUGCAUAACUUAUAAAUCACUUCAGAAGAGUUAAGUGUGAAAGGUGAUAUGAAAGUGCGAGUUGUUAACCACCGUCACAGCUGACUGAGCAUUUUGUUUAUUCUCUUACCAGAUUCUGCUUUGGGAGUCUGUACCACAACUAAUUAACCAUAGUGCUUAUAAUUGUAUAAACAGAAUAUAUAACAGAUCUUUAUGAUAUAUAAUUAAUUCUGCCCGUAAGGAAAGCUUUGUAAGUCAAACCAUGUGCUGUUGGAGAACUGCCUCUUUAUGUUCUCCCUUACAAGGCAGGUAUAUUUCCCUGCCAGCAGAGCUCAGGGAACAUUCUAGAAAAUAAUGUUCGUUAAGGCCAGCCAGGUGUUUUCCUGCAGACUGACUACUGGGAGCCCCAUCUCUGAAGCUGAGGUGGUUGCAGCUGUCUCUGCUCCUUCCUUUAUGCAGACUGCAGUGAGAAAAGGCACUUUGGUACAGAAAAUUUUCUGGUUUUAAAGAUCAAACUCACUUGCUGUUGUCAUGCAUUAGCUACUUGUUUAAUCUUGAGUUUUGUCAGCCUUACUUUUCAGCAUUUUUUUGUGUAUUAAGUUCCAAGCUAAACUCAAUCAUUGAUGCAAGACCAGAACAAGAACCCAGAUAAACACAAAUAAUUUGUUUUUGGAUUAUGAUCCAUGAAUAAGCACCACUCAAUAUGGUUAGAGGAUGGCCGUUCUUCCAUCUGCUGUUUGAUGUGCUUGUCCUUCCUGUGUGAAAAAAAACCAACCCCAACAACAAAUGGACACACAUGAGUUCAGACACCUGAUUUCACUAUAUGAAGACCUUUCCUGAAGUGACAGAAAAGACAACAUCCAUCUGUAGGACCUGUUUGAUCAAAGGGGUGAGUCAUCCUUACAUCAGGCCUGGAGCUUUGUGUGUCCCAAGCCAGAGCUGGCUGCAAAAUCUUGAAACACCAGGCUUAGGAGAGCUAAAAGUACUGUGAAAGCCUCCCCUAGACUGUCUGCAGAGAAACCCUAUCUUUAUAAAAUGCUAAUCAGAGCCAGCAAAUUUCCAAGCAUCCCAAGAUGAGAAGCUCAUCCACCUAGUACUCUGCUGAUGGUCUAGUAGGAGAUCUAUUUCUAAAGACCACUGUGCCUUGGGACAUCAGCUCACUCUUUAGACAUCUUAAAUGUACAUAAUAAAAGAAGUUAAUAUGAAGAUGAGUUGUUUGCUGGAAAGGAAAAAAAGAAAAGGAAAGAGAAGAAACGAAAGAGUAAGCAAAGAGCAGAAGCCUCCUUGAUCUAGCCUUGAUCUGGCUGAAUGGGAGGCACAGGUUCACAUUACACUCCUUUGGAAUGAUAAUCACACCCUUCUUUGAGGCUGACACACCACUGGGAGGAUUAUCUUUGCAGGGCAGCCCAGAUCCUUCUCACUGAUAAAGCUGCUGUAACUGAAAAGUAUUUGGCAGAACUGUCACCAUACACACAAACAGAGGAGCUGAGUCUCCUAACCUCAGAGGCUUGGUAUGGGGAGUAGUCUGCAUCAGCUCCCAUGCCCUCCAGAUCAACUCUACAGAUCACCUAUGUAACUUGGAGAAGAAAACACUGUUUCCUUGGGGAUCUUUGAGGUGGUUUCCAAACCUUUUCAGACAGGCUCUGUGCAAUGCAAGGGGGUUAUUUGUUGCCUUCUAUCAGUCCUGGAUUCCACUGGAGACCAAGAGCGUGCCAUGCCAGCAUACACAGCUUACUCAGCUGCCUUCCUCAGAGCUUCAUCACUAAAACAUAGCAUUUAAUAGCAGGACCUGUGAUAGUCGGGUGUGCAAAACCCUUUAGGGAACUGUAAUUUAGCCACUAUGUAACUACAUGAGAGAAGACCACUGCCUAAGAGGAUCCUGAAUUUCAGCAGCCCCUGAGGACUUGACCUUGCAUACUUUGUAGCAUCCAAGAGCUAAAGUUACUCCUGCCUUUAUACCAAUGACAGUAAGGACCAAAGUGACAAUGAGAAAUAAACUAUAUCUGUAACACUGUCCAUGCUUUCUAUUACUAAAGAAUUUUAAAAAAGGAAAAACUCCAUUAAGUCAAAUAGCCCUCCCUCUGUCAAUGAAUAAUAAAAAAAUCAUGCCUUACAA
Molecule: long non-coding RNA, 2099 nt
Organism: Parus major (Great Tit)
Lineage: Eukaryota; Metazoa; Chordata; Aves; Passeriformes; Paridae
Exons: 2
Source: RefSeq, a predicted model, not a curated record